This 635-nucleotide unclassified non-coding RNA is filed under the name Magnolia stellata (star magnolia). RNAcentral's name for it is "partial contains small subunit ribosomal RNA, internal transcribed spacer 1, 5.8S ribosomal RNA, and internal transcribed spacer 2". Lineage: Eukaryota; Viridiplantae; Streptophyta; Magnoliopsida; Magnoliales; Magnoliaceae. The record is from RNAcentral.
GUUUCCGUAGGUGAACCUGCGGAAGGAUCAUUGUCGAGGCCCGCCGAGCAGCGAGACCCGCGAACCGGUGACCCUAACGAGGCGCGCGCGGCCCGGGGAGCGCCCGCUCUCCCGGGGGACCGCGCGGCGAACCACCCCCGGCGCGAUGGGCGCCAAGGAAUCGAGAUGGAAUGAGCGCGGCUCCCUCCGGGGACGCCGGCGCGCGUUCGGAACUUACACGACUCUCGGCAACGGAUAUCUCGGCUCUCGCAUCGAUGAAGAACGUAGCGAAAUGCGAUACUUGGUGUGAAUUGCAGAAUCCCGUGAACCAUCGAGUCUUUGAACGCAAGUUGCGCCCGAGGCCACCCGGCCGAGGGCACGCCUGCCUGGGCGUCACGCACCGUGCUGCCCCACCCGGCGCCCGCCCGAUCCGGCGGCGGCGCCGCGGGGCGGARACUGGCCGCCCGUGCGCCCCGCGCGCGCGGCCGGCUGAAAAGCAUUCGCUCCCCCCCCGGGGCGCGGACGCGGCGGUAGGUGGUUUGAGAGGCGGCAGCCUCGUCGGAGCCCGGACGCCGCGCCCGUCGCCCCGCCCGGGGGCAGAGCAAAGAGCGAAGCGGCACCCGGCCCGCGCGGCCCUCGCGCAGCGACCCCAGGUC